Molecule: long non-coding RNA, 203 nt
Filed under: Fukomys damarensis (Damara mole-rat)
Lineage: Eukaryota; Metazoa; Chordata; Mammalia; Rodentia; Bathyergidae
Description: lncRNA (ENSFDAG00000023475.1)
Source: RNAcentral
ACUGAAUGAGGAGUUAAGAAAAGUUCUGUCUCUAAAUAAUAAUUGAUAGUAUAUUUUUCAAUAGACUAGCGCCAGUAGAUCUUGCACCAUGGAGAUCAGAUGAUUUGAAUUGAAACUUGAAAACUGACAGUGGUAUAGGAUCACCACAAUGAUGUCGCAUAGGAGAAGUAAUGUGAAAAUCAAAGCAUUUUUCUGGGCCCUGG